CACGUAGGGACCAAGCGUUGUCCGGAUUCAUUGGGCGUAAAGAGCUCGUAGGCGGUUCGAUAAGUCGGGUGUGAAACCUCCAGGCUCAACCUGGAGACGCCACCCGAUACUGUCGUGACUAGAGUCCAGUAGGGGAGCGUGGAAUUCCUGGUGUAGCGGUGAAAUGCGCAGAUAUCAGGAGGAACACCAGCGGCGAAGGCGGCGCUCUGGGCCGUAACUGACGCUGAGGAGCGAAAGCAUGGGUAGCAAACAGG
RNAcentral lists this ribosomal RNA (254 nucleotides) under uncultured bacterium. RNAcentral's name for it is "partial 16S ribosomal RNA". It matches the Rfam family "Bacterial small subunit ribosomal RNA", at positions 524 to 776 of the family's 1533-position model. The record is from RNAcentral.